AGUAAAGUAAGCUAAAUUAAGCUUUUGGGCCCAUACCCCAACCACGUCGGUUAAAAUCCCUCCUUUACUA
RNAcentral lists this transfer RNA (70 nucleotides) under Scolecomorphus vittatus. RNAcentral's name for it is "tRNA-Met". It matches the Rfam family "tRNA". Rfam says of the family: Transfer RNA (tRNA) molecules are approximately 80 nucleotides in length. Their secondary structure includes four short double-helical elements and three loops (D, anti-codon, and T loops). Lineage: Eukaryota; Metazoa; Chordata; Amphibia; Gymnophiona; Scolecomorphidae. The record is from RNAcentral.